UACGGAGGGUGCAAGCGUUAUUCGGAUUUACUGGGCGUAAAGCGCACGUAGGCGGUUUCGUAAGUCUGGUGUGAAAGCCCGGGGCUUAACCCCGGAAGGGCAUUGGAUACUGCGAGACUGGAGUAUGGGAGGGGAGAGUGGAAUUCCUGGUGUAGAGGUGAAAUUCGUAGAUAUCAGGAGGAACACCAGUGGCGAAGGCGGCUCUCUGGACCAUUACUGACGCUCAGGUGCGAAAGCGUGGGGAGCAAACAGG
Molecule: ribosomal RNA, 253 nt
Filed under: uncultured bacterium
Lineage: Bacteria
Description: partial 16S ribosomal RNA
Rfam family: Bacterial small subunit ribosomal RNA
Source: RNAcentral